CCUGCUUUGAGUGUCCUUUCUGUGCUCUGUUUUAAGCUGGAAAGAGUGCUUUCCCGAUUCGAUGGUUAAGCUCCGGAGAUCCUCUUUUCUCUGGUUUCGGUAGGAUGAAUUUCAUUUUAUGUUUGACGCAUCGCAUAUAGUUAGCCUGACUAAGGCAUCGAUAUUAAAAGAAGUAAUGUCAGCUCUCAUGAAGGUAAGCACAUUUUUUUUUAUUAGACGAUUCUAAGGGUACGGGACACCUCCUCCAGUCUAUUAGGCGAGGUAUGUUCUCUUGGCCUGAGAGUUGGUUCAACCCCAACGAGAAACAUCCUUUCUAGUGUGUUCAAUCCCACCUUUCAUCAACUGUUGUUUCUCUGUCCC
RNAcentral lists this long non-coding RNA (360 nucleotides) under Brassica rapa (field mustard). RNAcentral describes it as "long non-coding RNA (BRAP_LNC001649)". Lineage: Eukaryota; Viridiplantae; Streptophyta; Magnoliopsida; Brassicales; Brassicaceae. The record is from RNAcentral.